UACGAAGGGGGCUAGCGUUGCUCGGAAUGACUGGGCGUAAAGGGCGCGUAGGCGGUUUGUUUAGUCAGACGUGAAAUUCCUGGGCUUAACCUGGGGGCUGCGUUUGAUACGUGCAGACUUGAGUGAGGAAGAGGGUCGUGGAAUUCCCAGUGUAGAGGUGAAAUUCGUAGAUAUUGGGAAGAACACCGGUGGCGAAGGCGGCGACCUGGUCCUUUACUGACGCUGAGGCGCGAAAGCGUGGGGAGCAAACAGG
This 253-nucleotide ribosomal RNA is filed under the name uncultured bacterium. Its description in RNAcentral is "partial 16S ribosomal RNA". It matches the Rfam family "Bacterial small subunit ribosomal RNA", at positions 524 to 776 of the family's 1533-position model. The record is from RNAcentral.